UUCGCAAUGCCCGAAAGGGUGACGAAGCGACGCCGCGUGUGGGAAGAAGGCCUUCGGGUCGUAAACCACUGUCGGGAGUUAAGAAAUGCAAGAAUGUUAAUAGCGUUUUUGCUUGACUAAGGCUCCGGAGGAAGCCACGGCUAACUCUGUGCCAGCAGCCGCGGUAAUACAGAGGCGGCAAGCGUUGUUCGGAAUUAUUGGGCGUAAAGAGCACGUAGGCGGCUAUAUAAGUCGGUUGUGAAAGCCUUCCGCUCAACGGGAGAACAGCAUCCGAUACUGUGUGGCUUGAGUGUGGGAGGGGAGAGCGGAACUUCUGGUGGAGCGGUGAAAUGCGUAGAUAUCAGAAGGAACGCCGGCGGCGAAAGCGGCUCUCUGGCCCAUAACUGACGCUGAGUGUGCGAAAGCUAGGGGAGCAAACGGGAUUAGAUACCCCGGUAGUCCUAGCCGUAAACGAUGGGCACUAAGUAGAGGGGUUU
Molecule: ribosomal RNA, 476 nt
Filed under: uncultured Planctomycetales bacterium
Lineage: Bacteria; Pseudomonadati; Planctomycetota; Planctomycetia; Planctomycetales
Description: bacterial SSU rRNA
Rfam family: Bacterial small subunit ribosomal RNA
Source: RNAcentral